GACGAACGCUGGCGGCGUGCUUAACACAUGCAAGUCGAACGGAAAGGCCCUGCUUUUGUGGGGUGCUCGAGUGGCGAACGGGUGAGUAACACGUGAGUAACCUGCCCUUGACUUUGGUAUAACUUCAGGAAACUGGGGCUAAUACCGGAUAGGAGCUCCUGCUGCAUGGUGGGGGUUGGAAAGUUUCGGCGGUUGGGGAUGGACUCGCGGCUUAUCAGCUUGUUGGUGGGGUAGUGGCUUACCAAGGCUUUGACGGGUAGCCGGCCUGAGAGGGUGACCGGCCACAUUGGGGCUGAGAUACGGCCCAGACUCCUACGGGAGGCAGCAGUGGGGAAUAUUGCACAAUGGGCGGAAGCAUGAUGCAGCAAAGCAGCGUGCGGGAUGACGGGCUUCGGGUUGUAAACCGCUUUCGCCUGUGACGAAGCGUGAGUGACGGUAAUGGGUAAAGAAGCACCGGCUAACUACGUG
RNAcentral lists this ribosomal RNA (468 nucleotides) under uncultured bacterium. Its description in RNAcentral is "partial 16S ribosomal RNA". It matches the Rfam family "Bacterial small subunit ribosomal RNA", at positions 28 to 507 of the family's 1533-position model. The record is from RNAcentral.